GGGGUUGUAGCUCAGUGGUAGAGCGCUUGCCUAACACAGGCAAGGCCCUGAGUUUGAUCCUCGGCACCA
RNAcentral lists this transfer RNA (69 nucleotides) under Ictidomys tridecemlineatus (thirteen-lined ground squirrel). RNAcentral describes it as "Spermophilus tridecemlineatus (thirteen-lined ground squirrel) tRNA". It matches the Rfam family "tRNA". Rfam says of the family: Transfer RNA (tRNA) molecules are approximately 80 nucleotides in length. Their secondary structure includes four short double-helical elements and three loops (D, anti-codon, and T loops). Lineage: Eukaryota; Metazoa; Chordata; Mammalia; Rodentia; Sciuridae. The record is from Rfam by way of RNAcentral.